This 500-nucleotide ribosomal RNA is filed under the name uncultured bacterium. RNAcentral describes it as "partial 16S ribosomal RNA". It matches the Rfam family "Bacterial small subunit ribosomal RNA", at positions 30 to 523 of the family's 1533-position model. The record is from RNAcentral.
AUUGAACGCUGGCGGCAUGCCAUACACAUGCAAGUCGAACGGCAGCACGGGAGCAAUCCUGGUGGCGAGUGGCGAACGGGUGAGUAAUAUAUCGGAACGUGCCCAGUCGUGGGGGAUAACGUAGCGAAAGCUACGCUAAUACCGCAUACGAUCUAUGGAUGAAAGCGGGGGAUCGCAAGACCUCGCGCGAUUGGAGCGGCCGAUAUCAGAUUAGGUAGUUGGUGAGGUAAGGGCUCACCAAGCCGACGAUCUGUAGCUGGUCUGAGAGGACGACCAGCCACACUGGGACUGAGACACGGCCCAGACUCCUACGGGAGGCAGCAGUGGGGAAUUUUGGACAAUGGGCGCAAGCCUGAUCCAGCAAUGCCGCGUGCAGGAUGAAGGCCUUCGGGUUGUAAACUGCUUUUGUACGGAACGAAACGGCGAGCUCUAAUACAGUUUGCUAAUGACGGUACCGUAAGAAUAAGCACCGGCUAACUACGUGCCAGCCGCCGCGGUAA